AUGUAGCGCUCGUACACGCCGGCUGCUCCCCACCGGCCGCGCCCACCUGACAACCGCUCGCUACAUUUUGCUGGCC
RNAcentral lists this small RNA (76 nucleotides) under Xanthomonas arboricola pv. populi. Its description in RNAcentral is "sX9 sRNA". It matches the Rfam family "Xanthomonas sRNA sX9". The record is from RNAcentral. Lineage: Bacteria; Pseudomonadati; Pseudomonadota; Gammaproteobacteria; Lysobacterales; Lysobacteraceae.